RNAcentral lists this ribosomal RNA (489 nucleotides) under Triticum aestivum (bread wheat). RNAcentral describes it as "partial small subunit ribosomal RNA". Lineage: Eukaryota; Viridiplantae; Streptophyta; Magnoliopsida; Poales; Poaceae. The record is from RNAcentral.
AUGGCAGCCCACAUCUCUAUGGGACGCAUUGGAGAAGUCUACCGCAGGGAGCUUAAGGAUACCAUUUAUCAGAUUUGUGGACGCCGAGAUGAGCAAUGGGAGAUGAUCAGCACCAAGAAGGAUGGAUCAAUUGCAGCUUUCAUCCAGGAGCAAAACCAACACAUUCGUCGCCAGGAGAACCAGAUGUGCGCAGACAUGAUAGAACUAAAGAAGGCAUUGACCAAGAUCACGGAGUUGGAGGAAGAACUCAAGUCUACGCGCGAUGGAUAUGAGGAGGAGAUCGCCACGUUGUUGGAAAAGAAUGACGACAUAAUAAAGAAGAUCGGAGUAUUCAUGGGAGACCCAGCUCCAGGAGGAGAAGAUGACGAUUCUACUUGCCCGGAUAACUACAUCAUCAUCGACGACACCGACUCAGACCCUAGUGAAGAUGACUUUGUUGAUGAAGCUGGAGCAGAUAUCAUGGAGUCUUCGACCGAUCAAAAUUUCUAG